UACGUAGGGUGCGAGCGUUAAUCGGAAUUACUGGGCGUAAAGCGUGCGUAGGCGGUUCGUUAAGUUCGUUGUGAAAGCCCCGGGCUCAACCUGGGAAUGGCAAUGGAAACUGGCGGGCUGGAGUAUGGCAGAGGGGGGUGGAAUUCCGCGUGUAGCAGUGAAAUGCGUAGAUAUGUGGAGGAAUACCGAUGGCGAAGGCAGCCCCCUGGGAUAACACUGACGCUCAUGCACGAAAGCGUGGGGAGCAAACAGG
This 253-nucleotide ribosomal RNA is filed under the name uncultured bacterium. Its description in RNAcentral is "partial 16S ribosomal RNA". It matches the Rfam family "Bacterial small subunit ribosomal RNA", at positions 524 to 776 of the family's 1533-position model. The record is from RNAcentral.